This 1098-nucleotide long non-coding RNA is filed under the name Gossypium barbadense (sea-island cotton). Its description in RNAcentral is "long non-coding RNA (GBAR_LNC016914)". Lineage: Eukaryota; Viridiplantae; Streptophyta; Magnoliopsida; Malvales; Malvaceae. The record is from RNAcentral.
GAGCUUCUCUUUUUUACUCUGCAUUUCCCUCUGACCUAUUUCCCUUGUUCUCGAAGACGAAGAACGAAAGAAGGAUUCAAUUUGAAGAGAGCAAGAGACGAAGUGAAUCUGAAAUGCAGGGGGGCGACAUGACUAAGUACAAACAAUUCCUUUUUCUUUUUUUUCUUUCUUGAUUCCAAUCAAGUAAUAGUAAUAAUUAAAAUUUUCUUUUUUCUUUUUUUUUAAAUAAUUGUUUGAGCAGUAGGAGUAGUAGGGUGGCUGAGAGGCUGCUGCUGUUCAUUGCCCGCUUGUUAAUUUUAACACCAUUUAUCAUGUUGGCAUUCAGUAUAUACUAUAACAUAUUCAGUCCCUCCUAUACGCUCACCAUUCCGAUGACUGACCUUGUAUCCACCUAUUUCCGUCUCUACUACUUAAACCGAAAUCCGUAAGUUCUUGUUUUUUUCUUGGUUUGGAUUAUUUGUUAGAAUCGAUGUUGAGCUAAAUCUGUUCUGCUUUGAUGCUGAUUGCUUCUUUUUUCUUUCUUGUGCUCCAUUUUGCGUUCUUUAAAAUAUAUGAAAUUGGUGUGCGCUUUUCUUCUACAAAACUCACAAUUGCUUUAUUGUGUGAACUAGGGGAUUACUUGGAUUCGUGAUGGAAUUUGCGCUAUCAGUAGCAGUGCUCGGCGUACUUCACAACAAUGAGGCAUUGCGUUUAUUUGAUUAGUAUGUUAUUCUCACUUCCAACUUCUAGGGGGUUUAGAGGGAAAUUAAUUGUAAUUACACUUGGUGAAUAUUGCAGGGCUCCCCUACAGCCUCCAACAGUUUGAAGCUAAAAGAGUGAGGAAGAUGAACAGCCGUUUUGCUUUUCAAAAAACCCUAGUUUGUAAAUAUGCCUCAACUCUUUUAACUAUCUUGGGGAGGAAAUGUUUGAUAUGAUUCACAUUUUGUUUUGGCUCAUUAUUGAUAUCAUUCAAUUGAUUGGAUGUAUCAUAAGAUCUGAUCCUUUCUUCAAUUGAGUUAAGCAUUGGCAAAAUGAUUUUACAAUCAACAACACUAUAAUAGGUUUUAUGGAAUUACAUUCUUUUUAAAUAUUAUUGGUCCAAUAUUGGUUAAAUUGUUU